Molecule: ribosomal RNA, 637 nt
Filed under: uncultured bacterium
Lineage: Bacteria
Description: bacterial SSU rRNA
Rfam family: Bacterial small subunit ribosomal RNA
Source: RNAcentral
GCUCAACCGAGGAAGUGCUUCGAAAACUGGUAAACUUGAGUGCAGAAGAGGAAAGUGGAACUCCAUGUGUAGCGGUGGAAUGCGUAGAUAUAUGGAAGAACACCAGGGGCGAAGGCGGCUUUCUGGUCUGUAACUGACGCUGAGAUUCGAAAGCAUGGGUAGCAAACAGGAUUAGAUACCCUGGUAGUCCAUGCCGUAAACGAUGAGUGCUAAGUGUUGGAGGGUUUCCGCCCUUCAGUGCUGCAGCUAACGCAUUAAGCACUCCGCCUGGGGAGUACGAUCGCAAGAUUGAAACUCAAAGGAAUUGACGGGGGCCCGCACAAGCGGUGGAGCAUGUGGUUUAAUUCGAAGCAACGCGAAGAACCUUACCAGGUCUUGACAUACCAUGAAAAGCUAAGAGAUUAGUCUUUCCCUUCGGGGACAUGGAUACAGGUGGUGCAUGGUUGUCGUCAGCUCGUGUCGUGAGAUGUUGGGUUAAGUCCCGCAACGAGCGCAACCCUUAUUAUCAGUUGCCAGCAUUCAGUUGGGCACUCUGGUGAGACUGCCGGUGACAAACCGGAGGAAGGUGGGGACGACGUCAAAUCAUCAUGCCCCUUAUGACCUGGGCUACACACGUGCUACAAUGGUCGGUACAACG